RNAcentral lists this unclassified non-coding RNA (78 nucleotides) under Pseudomonas migulae. The record is from RNAcentral. Lineage: Bacteria; Pseudomonadati; Pseudomonadota; Gammaproteobacteria; Pseudomonadales; Pseudomonadaceae.
CAGCAAGCCGGCUCCUACGGGGUUCGUGUCGAACGAAGAUUUAUGCACGACACAAACCCUGUAGGAGCCGGCUUGCUG